GAUUUCUGAUCUGUCUCGCUUCGCCCGCCACGGUUUCGUGUGUGAGUGCUGUAGCGAGACGAUCAUCCUUCUAGAGAAUGUCUUCGUCUCUUCAUUGAGCUACGAAGCAUUUCGCUAGAUCGUUUACUUUGAAAAAAUUAGAGUGUUUCAAGCAGGCGUCAUUUGCUAUGAAUACAUUAGCAUGGAAUAAUAAUUUAGGACUUCGGUUCUAUUUUGUUGGUUUCUAGGACGGAAGUAAUGAUUGAUAGGGAUAGUUGGGGGUGCUAGUAUUCAGAGGCCAGAGGUGAAAUUCUUGGAUUCUCUGAAGACUAACUUAUGCGAAAGCAUU
Molecule: ribosomal RNA, 328 nt
Filed under: Allapsa sp.
Lineage: Eukaryota; Cercozoa; Glissomonadida; Allapsidae
Description: SSU rRNA
Rfam family: Eukaryotic small subunit ribosomal RNA (bases 52-328)
Source: RNAcentral